CCAAUAGCGUAUAUUAAAGUUGUUGCAGUUAAAAAGCUCGUAGUUGAAUUUCGGGAUCAGUACGCUGGUCGUGCCCUUGGUAUGUACUGGUGUUACUGGUUCCUACCUUCUGACGAACCGUCAUGUCAUUAAUUUGGUGUGGCGGGAAAUCAGGACUGUUACUUUGAAAAAAUUAGAGUGUUUAAAGCAGGCUCGCGCUUGAAUACAUUAGCAUGGAAUAAUGAAAUAGGACGUUCGAUCCUAUUUUGUUGGUUUCUAGGAUUGACGUAAUGAUUAAUGGGGAUAGUUGGGGGCAUUAGUAUUCAAUUGUCAGAGGUGAAAUUCUUGGAUUUAUUGAAGACGAACUACUGCGAAAGCAUGUGCCAAGGAUGUUUUCAUUAAUCAAGAACGAAAGUUAGGGGAUCGAAGACGAUCAGAUACCGUCGUAGUCGUAACCAUAAACUAUGCCGACUAGGGAUCGGAUGAUGUUAUUUUUAAUGACUCAUUCGGCGCCUUACG
Molecule: ribosomal RNA, 498 nt
Filed under: uncultured Glomeromycotina
Lineage: Eukaryota; Fungi; Glomeromycota
Description: partial small subunit ribosomal RNA
Rfam family: Eukaryotic small subunit ribosomal RNA
Source: RNAcentral